AAUCAACGCUAGCGGCGUGCCUCAGACAUGCAAGUCGAACGAUUAAAGCUCCCUUCGGGGAGUGCAUAGAGUGGCGCACGGGUGAGUAACACGUAAGUAAUCUACCUUUGAGUGGGGAUAACGUUCGGAACGGACGCUAAUACCGCAUAAUGCAGCGGCAUCGCAAGAUGACAGUUGUUAAGGAGCAAUCCGCUUAAAGAGGAGCUUGCGGCAGAUUAGCUUGUUGGUAAGGUAACGGCUUACCAAGGCUACGAUCUGUAUCCGGUCUAAGAGGACGGUCGGACACACUGACACUGAAUAACGGGUCAGACUCCUACGGGAGGCAGCAGUCGGGAAUUUUGGGCAAUGGGCGAAAGCCUGACCCAGCAACGCCGCGUGAAGGAUGAAGUA
Molecule: ribosomal RNA, 390 nt
Filed under: uncultured bacterium
Lineage: Bacteria
Description: bacterial SSU rRNA
Rfam family: Bacterial small subunit ribosomal RNA
Source: RNAcentral